AUGGUGAAAUCUUCCACAUCCCUGAUGAACAGCGGCAACCUCGAUUUACGACUCGCAGGUUUGCAAUCGUCCCAUGACCGCAUAUACAUUGCAGUGCCCCUGCCCGUGCGCCACUGCCGUAACCUGCACCCUGCAAAAAAAAUGCAAGUUCAGAUUCAAAUAAACAAGAAGUUAAAAAGGAUUCCAGGGAUUGUUUUGAGGCGGUCGAUGGCUUUUGAGAGAUGUGUUCAUACUUAUAAGUUUGAAGGUGUUCAAAGCUCAUUUAUACAAGGAGGAACGGAAAUUUGGUUGCACAUCUGUUUGCGAAAAAGAGCACUAAAACUAGAUGUACUUUCUAUUUCUUUAUUUGUAACCCCCUACCUACCUGAUAGAGACUAUUCAAUUAGAGUUAGUUUUGCCUCAAUAAUGCAGUGGCAAGACAUUAGUUUUUAA
This 432-nucleotide ribosomal RNA is filed under the name Triticum aestivum (bread wheat). RNAcentral's name for it is "partial small subunit ribosomal RNA". Lineage: Eukaryota; Viridiplantae; Streptophyta; Magnoliopsida; Poales; Poaceae. The record is from RNAcentral.